This 2760-nucleotide long non-coding RNA is filed under the name Sus scrofa (pig). RNAcentral's name for it is "lncRNA (ENSSSCG00025021720.1, ENSSSCG00050064601.1, ENSSSCG00055019496.1)". The record is from RNAcentral. Lineage: Eukaryota; Metazoa; Chordata; Mammalia; Artiodactyla; Suidae.
AAUUGCUACUGCACGGUGAUGAGAGGAGAAGCCGGCCAGGAAAUGCAGGAAGAUCGACAUGCCUUUGGACAGCUGCAGCGCGGAACUUAGCUCUUCCGAAGAGUUGUUGGAGGACGACGACGUCUCCCUAGAUUCCUCCAUCCUUGGGAGCCCUGAAGACCGCUGGCGCUGGCGAGAGCACGGCUAGGCAGCCACACAGGCUCAGGCAAGGAUGCGCCGCACUCCCUACCCUCUCCCAAGCUCCCGCUGCAAGGCUCGGGAUCGAGAGCGGAUGCUCGCUGCUCCGAGAGCCUCCCUCCUGUCUCUCUCGGGCUUAUUCUCCACCUCCUUGUCUACGUCCUCCGCGCUCCCACGCAUUCCAACUCGCGCCUCCCCCUUCUCUUGGCUGCGCCGCCUGGAUCACUCGUCUCUGCUGGUAACAACGCGCUGCUCCUCUUGGGGGCGGGGUGGGGGGGUGCGGACUCUGACCCCCACGCACUGCCAUUAGGCUUGGGAGUAACCCUGAGGCUUCCGCCCAGUCCACAACGGUCCCACACGCGGAGAGAAAGGAGGUAGCCCACUCAGAGAGGGGGAACAGAUGGAGGGUUAGCUGUCCUGAAUAACUAAAACACAAAGUAAGGAUGCCCCCAAACUCACCCCUGGGUAGAAAAUAGUUAGAUUCCAAGAUGUUUUGCCAACUUUGCUUUUGUCCAAGUACACCUGUCUUCCCCACCCUCCCCAAAGACUGGUAGGUAAAUAGAUAUCACCAACCAACGAGAUAGGGGGGCGGUUAAUGUGGGGAUUAAACCACUCAUUUUUGGAAUCUUGAGGCCCCGGGUUCAAAACCUGCUCUUUGUUGAUUUAUCUUGUGAUCUAGCAAGUUACUACAUCGUUUCGCCUCUGUUUUCAUCAGUAAAAUGGUCACGAUGGUGCUACUUACCUCAAAGCAUUCUGGGGCUUAAAUGUGGUUAGUGCCAUGGACAAAGGUAUGGACGCUGCAUAGAGUGAGCAGCCAAAAAAAAAAAAGUUCUAUGGGAAAAAUAUUGUCAGAUCAUGGUCAAGCAAGUUUUCCAAAGUUGAAGUCACAAUAAAGGAUACAGUCCCUAUCUAUGUUUAAGAGAGGGUAAUUAUUCAAAAUCUGAGGGCUUCUGUAAGAGCUGCAAAAAUGGUAAUCUCACCUUCCAUCAGGAGAAAUAUCCACUGUUUAUUGGGCAUCUAAAUGUGCAAGACACAUUCGAGUUGCUGUGGGUUACAAAGUUGAACUAUCUUGGAGUAAAAUGAGCCAAAGAGAAUAGUACCUUUUCCAAACAAGGCUCUGCCUGUGAGAAUGGAUGAAGUGGAUCCAGAUCUCUAUUUUGUGGCCUCCAAGAAAAAAAAAUGUCGUUUCUAUAAAGCACGUGCACAAACAACCUAACACAGGACAAAAUGUGAGUUCCAAAAAGCAUAUAAAAAGUUCUAUAUGAGUUUCCUAGGAGAAAUGAUUUAUUAUCUUGCUAAUGGGACCAAGAAAGGCUUGAUAAAAGAGGUGGUAUUUGAAAUGUAUCUUGAAAAUUCCUAGAUAUAUAUCUGAUAGAAAUAGAGAGAAAAGACAUUCCAGAUGGAACAGCAAAAGUAAAGGCAUGACACCCAGGAGAGUCCAUGGGAAUCUGUAAUUAGUCUACUGGAAUCCUAGUCCCUACCCAAGGCUUACUAAAGCAGAAUAUAAAAGUAUGAGAUCCAGGAAUCUGAGUCCCUCUUUUUUCCAUGAUUCAUAUCCUGGUGCUCGGUAGCAGGUAGGACUGGGGCGGGGGAAGGCCCGAUAAAUCACCUUGGGCACAAAGUGUAAGGAAGUGUUACCCUGUAUUUGCAUGAUCCUGAUAGUGCCUGCCUUCUUAAAUUUUGCAUCGUUGGCAUCUCAGUUACCUCACCCAAGUCCCAGACUUGCUCUGUAGAUCAGUGUUUGCAAGAAAUGGAUCCAGUCGUUUUCAGUUCUGGCUGUACAUGGGAAUUACCAAGGAUGUAUGGCAACUUUCAAUACAGCCACAAUUUCGUUAACUUCCUAUAGAAACGUGCGUCCCCUUUCCUUGAAUCUGAAGGACUGUGACUGCUUGAAUGCAUAAAAUGCACCAGAAGUGAUGCUAUGUUUUCUGAGUCUAGGUAUAUAAAAAGCCUCACAGGGAGUUCCCUUUGUGGCUCAGUAGGUAAGGACCAGAUGCUGUCUCUGUGAGGAUGUGGAUUCAAUACCUGGCCUUGCUCCUUGGUUAAGGAUCUGGCAUUGCAGCAAGCUGCGGCAUAGUCUGCAGAUGUGGUUGAGAUCUGGUGUUGCUGUAGCUGUGGCAUAGGCCUGCAGCUGCAGAUCCAAUUCACCUUCUAGCCUGGGAACUUCUAUAUGCGACAGGUGUGGUGUAAAGAAAAAAAAAAAGCCUCGCCAUUCCAUCUUCUUCAGUGGAAUAUUUGCUCUGGAGCCUUGGGAUCGCUAUAGGAAAUAUGACUACCUUGAGCACCAUGCACCGAGGAAGCCCAAGCUAUUCGGAGAGGCAUCUGUAGUCACCCUGACUGAAAGUACCAGCUGAACCCAGCCUUUGAGUCAUUCCAGCCUAAGUGGCAGAAAAGUGAAUAAAGAAGUCUCUAGAUGAUUCCAGAACACAGCUAUUUGAGACACGCCUAGCCAUUUGUGUUAUCUCAGCCAAGAUCUCAGACAUCAUGGAACAGAGACACACCAUCCAUCAGUGCUGUGCCCUGUCUAAAUUUCUGACCCACAUAAAUCAGGAGCAUAAUAAAAUGGUUACUGUUUUAUACAAA